UGAGGAAUAUUGGUCAAUGGACGCAAGUCUGAACCAGCCAAGUAGCGUGCAGGAUGACGGCCCUAUGGGUUGUAAACUGCUUUUAUAUGGGGAUAAAGUGGGGAACGUGUUCCCUUUUGCAGGUACCAUAUGAAUAAGGACCGGCUAAUUCCGUGCCAGCAGCCGCGGUAAUACGUAGGUGGCAAGCGUUGUCCGGAUUUAUUGGGCGUAAAGGGGGCGCAGGCUGCUUCUUAAGUCUGAUGUGAAAGCCCACGGCUUAACCGUGGAAGUGCAUUGGAAACUGGGAAGCUUGAGUACAGAAGAGGAAAGUGGAACUCCAUGUGUAGCGGUGGAAUGCGUAGAUAUAUGGAAGAACACCAGUGGCGAAAGCGACUUUCUGGUCUGUCACUGACGCUGAGGCCCGAAAGCGUGGGUAGCAAACAGG
This 424-nucleotide ribosomal RNA is filed under the name Verrucomicrobiota bacterium. Its description in RNAcentral is "Verrucomicrobia bacterium partial 16S ribosomal RNA". It matches the Rfam family "Bacterial small subunit ribosomal RNA", at positions 355 to 776 of the family's 1533-position model. The record is from RNAcentral. Lineage: Bacteria; Pseudomonadati; Verrucomicrobiota.